Molecule: ribosomal RNA, 273 nt
Filed under: Triticum aestivum (bread wheat)
Lineage: Eukaryota; Viridiplantae; Streptophyta; Magnoliopsida; Poales; Poaceae
Description: partial small subunit ribosomal RNA
Source: RNAcentral
AUGUUCAUCGAUGAGCUCACCCAAAGAGCGGAAGCACAAAAGAAGAGGAAGAGCAUUCACACGGGUUCAUAUACACAAGAUGAGGACAAGUUGAUUUGCCAAGCUUGGAUGGAGAUUAGCCAAGAUCCGAGGACCGACGCACAACAAAAGGGCAUUGUUUUUUGGACGAGAGUCCACAAAACAUUCCAUGAAAGGAAGAUGUUUGAGCCCUACCAAAUUACAAGCAACCGUGGCAUCGGCUCGAUUCAAAAGAGGUGGUUGUUCAUCCAAUAA